RNAcentral lists this ribosomal RNA (361 nucleotides) under uncultured bacterium. Its description in RNAcentral is "bacterial SSU rRNA". It matches the Rfam family "Bacterial small subunit ribosomal RNA", at positions 8 to 353 of the family's 1533-position model. The record is from RNAcentral.
AGAGUUUGAUCAUGGCUCAGGAUGAACGCUAGCUACAGGCUUAACACAUGCAAGUCGAGGGGAAACGGACAUCGAAAGCUUGCUUUUGUAUGGGCGUCGACCGGCGCACGGGUGAGUAACGCGUAUCCAACCUGCCCACCACUUGGGGAGUAACCUUGCGAAAGUAAAGACUAAUACCCAACUGAUAUCUCUAGAAGACAUCUGAAAGAGAUUAAAGAUUCAUCGGUGAUGGAUGGGGAUGCGUCUGAUUAGCCUGUUGGCGGGGUAACGGCCCACCAAGGCAACGAUCAGUAGGGGUUCUGAGAGGAAGGUCCCCCACAUUGGAACUGAGACACGGUCCAAACUCCUACGGGAGGCAGCA